This 373-nucleotide long non-coding RNA is filed under the name Oryza brachyantha (malo sina). Its description in RNAcentral is "long non-coding RNA (OBRA_LNC001415)". Lineage: Eukaryota; Viridiplantae; Streptophyta; Magnoliopsida; Poales; Poaceae. The record is from RNAcentral.
CAAAGCCGCCGCGCAGGCGCAGCGCAGCUCGAGCUCGAGCGCCUUCUUCCUCCUCAAGCUCCCCUCUCUCCUGGGUUUAAUUUUCCUUUCGUCGAAAUAUUUUUUCUCUCUUUCUUUUUUCUCGCGCGAGCGAGAGAGAGAAGCGAGUGGAGGGGAGCGGAGGGGCACACGCGGCGGAGGCACGCACUUAGAGGCGAGGGGGGAGAGGGGAAGAGGACAAGACGGCUGGGCGGUGGGCCCCACCUCCGGGUCACUUACACCGGUGGGCCCACCCGCGGGGUGGGGUCACGGCUCUCUCCACUGGGAUAGCAAAGUUUUAUUAACCCCAAGAAAAAGAAAAUAAAACACUCACGUAAAAGAGAAAAAGGGAAAG